Dioscorea cayenensis subsp. rotundata (Guinea yam) is the source of this 107-nucleotide small nucleolar RNA. The record is from RefSeq and is a predicted model, not a curated record. NCBI's taxonomy places the organism in Eukaryota, Viridiplantae, Streptophyta, Magnoliopsida, Dioscoreales, Dioscoreaceae.
AACCCAUGUUGAGAACAUUUCCACAAGAGUUCCUUGAACCUAUCCCAUGUCUCAAAAAGAGACUCCAAUUCUUUUUGCACAAAAGAGGAUAUUUUAUUCCUAAGCUU